UAGGGAAUCUUCCACAAUGGGCGCAAGCCUGAUGGAGCAACACCGCGUGAGUGAAGAAGGGUUUCGGCUCGUAAAGCUCUGUUGUUAAAGAAGAACACGUAUGAGAGUAACUGUUCAUUCGAUGACGGUAUCUAACCAGCAAGUCACGGCUAACUACGUGCCAG
RNAcentral lists this ribosomal RNA (164 nucleotides) under uncultured bacterium. RNAcentral's name for it is "partial 16S rRNA". It matches the Rfam family "Bacterial small subunit ribosomal RNA", at positions 355 to 511 of the family's 1533-position model. The record is from RNAcentral.